Molecule: ribosomal RNA, 555 nt
Filed under: uncultured Halolamina sp.
Lineage: Archaea; Methanobacteriati; Methanobacteriota; Halobacteria; Halobacteriales; Haloferacaceae
Description: bacterial SSU rRNA
Rfam family: Archaeal small subunit ribosomal RNA
Source: RNAcentral
ACGGGGAGCAGCAGGCGCGAAACCUUUACACUGCACGCCAGUGCGAUAAGGGGACUCCGGGUGUGAAGGCAUAGAGCCUUCACUUUUGUACACCGUAAGGUGGUGUACGAAUAAGGACUGGGCAAGACCGGUGCCAGCCGCCGCGGUAAUACCGGCAGCUCGAGUGAUGACCGAUUUUAUUGGGCCUAAAGCGUCCGUAGCUGGCCGCGCAAGUCUGUCGGGAAAUCCACCCGCUCAACGGGUGGGCGUCCGGCGGAAACUGUGCGGCUUGGGACAGGAAGGCUCGAGGGGUACGUUCGGGGUAGGAGUGAAAUCCUGUAAUCCUGAACGGACCACCGAUGGCGAAAGCACCUCGAGAGGACUGAUCCGACAGUGAGGGACGAAAGCUGGGGUCUCGAACCGGAUUAGAUACCCGGGUAGUCCCAGCCGUAAACGAUGUUCGCUAGGUGUGACACUCACUACGAGUGAGUGUUGUGCCGCAGGGAAGCCGCUAAGCGAACCGCCUGGGAAGUACGUCCGCAAGGAUGAAACUUAAAGGAAUUGGCGGGGGAGCAC